GUCCUUUUGAUAUUUAUUUAAGGUCUGGCCUGCCCACUGAUUUAUUUAAUGGCCGCGGUAUAUUGACCGUGCAAAGGUAGCAUAAUCAUUUGUCUUUUAAUUGAAGGCUAGAAUGAAUGGUUAGACGAGAAAAGUUCUUUCUUUAUAUUUAUUUUUUGAAUUUAAUUUUUUAGUUAAAAAGCUAAAAUGUAUUUAUGGGACGAGAAGACCCUAUAGAAUUUUAUAGUUUUUAUAUUAUAUAAUAUUUGGUUUAUUUGAUUUAUAUAAUGUAUAUAUUAUUUUGUUGGGGCGACAAGAAAAUUUUUUUAACUUUUCUAUAAAAAUUUCAUUGAUGUAUGUUUUGAUGAUCUUAUAUUAUGGAUAAUUAGAUUAAAUUACCUUAGGGAUAACAGCGUUAUUUAAUUGGAGAGUUCUUAUCGAUAAUUAAGUUUGCGA
This 435-nucleotide ribosomal RNA is filed under the name Heterocorixa nigra. Its description in RNAcentral is "partial large subunit ribosomal RNA". Lineage: Eukaryota; Metazoa; Arthropoda; Insecta; Hemiptera; Corixidae. The record is from RNAcentral.